CGCCGCAGCUCCUACACUCCUGCUCGUGCUCUAAACUGAAGUGCUGGGUUAAUUUUAGAAGACAUGGCGGAUUCAUGCUAUUCAGCCUCGGAAGGGUGCCAAACCACCUUCUUCUGCUGAACAGAAAUUAAGUAAAAAGGAUUCCUCCACCACAAUUUUCGACUGCAAGAAGUCUCCCAACCAUCUUAUUGUUGAUGAAGUUAUCGAUGAUGAUAAUUCCUUGGUUGCCAUGCACCCUAAUGCAAUGGACAAGCUUCAGCUUUUCUGAGGAGAUACGGUUUUAAUAGAGGGUAAGAAGAGAAGGGACACAGUUUGCAUUGUUCUUGCCGAUGAACAAUGUGAAGGACAAAAAUUUAGAAUGAUCAAGGUUGUAAGAUCCAAUCUAAGAGUACACCUUGGGAUGUUGUGUCUGUUCUUCAUCACUGUCCUUAUGUGAAGCAUGGGAACCCAGUUCAUAUCCUUCCAAUUGAUGAUACAAGUGAUGGUUUAACUAUUGACCUAGGUGUAUUUCUGCAGUCAUACUUUCUGGAAGAUUACCCACCUGUAAGAAAAGGUGACAUUUUCAUAGCUAAAGGUGCAAUAAGAACUGCUGAAUUUAAAGUAAUCGACACAGACCCUCGUGUUGUUGUACCAGAUACAAUUGUAAACUGGGAAGGAGAGCCUAUUACAGCCGUUACAAAUAUGCUACAGAGAAAGUAUUGUAGCCUGGUGAAUAUCAUGUUGUUGCACCAGAUACUAUUGUAACCUGGUGAAUAUGUCAGUGUGACUGCAAAAUACGCUAUUAGAGGAAGUAUUGAGAAGCUGGGGAUGUCAGGAUCCUGGGAGGGAGAAAAAGAAGAGAGAAAACCCUGAAAAAAUUGAAGAAGAUGAAAUUGAUGAUGUUGCUGAUAUAAAAGGCAGCACUUUGAGGAAUCAAUAAAACAUGCUCGCUGAAGUGUUAGCAAUGAGAUAUCAGGAAGUACCAGCUCUUUCCUCAGAUAUAGCAGCAAUCCCAUGUAUUUGGUUCUGGAUUUCGUUUUCCAGAAAGAAGAGAAAAUGCCACCAGAGGAGCAUCAGACCCAUUUUCUUCUGCCGCAGCUGCUGGUGAUGAUGAUGAUCUGUACAGCUGAAUUGAAACCAUUUCAUUUUGAAGCGCUUGUUACACAUGGGAUGGGGUUCUAAAGAACGGAGUUGUUGGCCAUUAAACCUUGCCCUGGAAAAUGUGAUGUUAACAUCAAAAGAGCAGAAAACCUGAGGAUUCACCUUCUGAUUCUAUAAAUUGCUGAACCAAUGGUCAUAAUGACAAAGCUGUGCUGAAAGUGAUCCAUCAUUAGUCCGUCCUUUGCCCCUAUCUUUCGACUUGAUGACCUAUGGGGUGAUGUGGGAUCGCCUCCCCUGCUGCAUGUGGUGGACCUUUUUACCUUUAGAUUUCCUCACUAACAAAAUACAGCAUUCAUCAUGUCCUUGCGGGAUAUGUUGGAAAUCUUUGAUGUGCCUUUUCUUCUUCCCAGUUUCCCAAAAUAUAUGGUAAAUGGUUUAUUUUCCUUCUCUUAAUUCUUUAUUGGUACAAAUCAGAAUACAUGGUUUAUUUCCAGGAGGUCUUGUUCUUUGUUUCGCGAAUCAGGCCCAUCGCACCAGAUGAUAAUCUCCCAUGAGGGCUCCAUUAGGUUGUAAAAGUCUCUGGAUUUUUUUGUCAGCUUUACCACAUGCGGCAGGUAAAUGCAAAUCAGGUGCUGAAGUAGCUAUUUAACUUGAUUUCUCUUGCUGCAUUAGGAAAUAGUAGUAGUAAUGUUGAUUUUACUGUCAGAAAACUUCCUGGAAGUUUUUCAUUUGCAUCUGAUUAGAAAAGGAAGAGACGAAAGCUGAUGCAUGGGUGUGAAUUUGCCAACUGCUGCUAAUUAAACUUAACCAAGACUGACAUGAUCAAAAGGUUGCUUGGAAUUUGGAUGCAUAACCAGUCUCCGAAGCUGAUGAGUAAGUUAUUUGAGAAAGACAGACAGCCAGCCAGCCAACCAAACGUACUGAUCGAAAGUGCAUGCAAAUUUGUAGAUUGAUUUAACAUUUGAAGGGAUGUCUCGUUUUGCUUGUAGUUGUAGCUAGAAGCUUUGUUUUUUCACAUGAUCACAUCCCCAAUAUUCCAUUAUCAAAA
RNAcentral lists this small RNA (2128 nucleotides) under Theobroma cacao (cacao). RNAcentral's name for it is "sRNA Tc03v2_g001710". Lineage: Eukaryota; Viridiplantae; Streptophyta; Magnoliopsida; Malvales; Malvaceae. The record is from RNAcentral.